RNAcentral lists this ribosomal RNA (799 nucleotides) under Metarhizium phuwiangense. Its description in RNAcentral is "partial 28S ribosomal RNA". It matches the Rfam family "Eukaryotic large subunit ribosomal RNA", at positions 113 to 941 of the family's 3401-position model. Lineage: Eukaryota; Fungi; Ascomycota; Sordariomycetes; Hypocreales; Clavicipitaceae. The record is from RNAcentral.
AUUUGAAAUCUGGCCCCCAGGGCCCGAGUUGUAAUUUGCAGAGGAUGCUUCGGGCGAGGUGCCUUCCGAGUUCCCUGGAACGGGACGCCACAGAGGGUGAGAGCCCCGUCUGGCUGGACGCCGAGCCUCUGUGAAGCUCCUUCGACGAGUCGAGUAGUUUGGGAAUGCUGCUCUAAAUGGGAGGUAUAUGUCUUCUAAAGCUAAAUACCGGCCAGAGACCGAUAGCGCACAAGUAGAGUGAUCGAAAGAUGAAAAGCACUUUGAAAAGAGGGUUAAACAGUACGUGAAAUUGUUGAAAGGGAAGCGCUCAUGACCAGACUUGGGCCCGGUGAAUCAUCCAGCGUUCUCGCCGGUGCACUUUGCCGGGCUCAGGCCAGCAUCGGCUCGCCCCGGGGGAUAAAGGCUCUGGGAACGUGGCUCCUUCGGGAGUGUUAUAGCCCACUGCACAAUACCCCGUGGCGGACCGAGGUUCGCGCAUCUUGCAAGGAUGCUGGCGUAAUGGUCAUCAGCGACCCGUCUUGAAACACGGACCAAGGAGUCGUCUUCGUAUGCGAGUGUUCGGGUGUGAAACCCCUACGCGUAAUGAAAGUGAACGCAGGUGAGAGCUUCGGCGCAUCAUCGACCGAUCCUGAUGUUCUCGGAUGGAUUUGAGUAGGAGCAUACGGGGCCGGACCCGAAAGAAGGUGAACUAUGCCUGUAUAGGGUGAAGCCAGAGGAAACUCUGGUGGAGGCUCGCAGCGGUUCUGACGUGCAAAUCGAUCGUCAAAUAUGGGCAUGGGGGCGAAAGACUAAUCGAACC